Molecule: ribosomal RNA, 989 nt
Filed under: uncultured Bacillus sp.
Lineage: Bacteria; Bacillati; Bacillota; Bacilli; Caryophanales; Bacillaceae
Description: bacterial SSU rRNA
Rfam family: Bacterial small subunit ribosomal RNA
Source: RNAcentral
AUAAUGCAGUCGAGCGGACAGAAGGGAGCUUGCUCCCGGAUGUUAGCGGCGGACGGGUGAGUAACACGUGGGUAACCUGCCUGUAAGACUGGGAUAACUCCGGGAAACCGGAGCUAAUACCGGAUAGUUCCUUGAACCGCAGGGUUCAAGGAUGAAAGACGGUUUCGGCUGUCACUUACAGAUGGACCCGCGGCGCAUUAGCUAGUUGGUGAGGUAACGGCUCACCAAGGCGACGAUGCGUAGCCGACCUGAGAGGGUGAUCGGCCACACUGGGACUGAGACACGGCCCAGACUCCUACGGGAGGCAGCAGUAGGGAAUCUUCCGCAAUGGACGAAAGUCUGACGGAGCAACGCCGCGUGAGUGAUGAAGGUUUUCGGAUCGUAAAGCUCUGUUGUUAGGGAAGAACAAGUGCAAGAGUAACUGCUUGCACCUUGACGGUACCUAACCAGAAAGCCACGGCUAACUACGUGCCAGCAGCCGCGGUAAUACGUAGGUGGCAAGCGUUGUCCGGAAUUAUUGGGCGUAAAGGGCUCGCAGGCGGUUUCUUAAGUCUGAUGUGAAAGCCCCCGGCUCAACCGGGGAGGGUCAUUGGAAACUGGGAAACUUGAGUGCAGAAAAGGAGAGUGGAAUUCCACGUGUAGCGGUGAAAUGCGUAGAGAUGUGGAGGAACACCAGUGGCGAAGGCGACUCUCUGGUCUGUAACUGACGCUAGGAGCGAAAGCGUGGGGAGCGAACAGGAUUAGAUACCCUGGUAGUCCACGCCGUAAACGAUGAGUGCUAAGUGUUAGGGGGUUUCCGCCCCUUAGUGCUGCAGCUAACGCAUUAAGCACUCCGCCUGGGGAGUACGGUCGCAAGACUGAGACUCAAAGGAAUUGACGGGGGCCCGCACAAGCGGUGGAGCAUGUGGUUUAAUUCGAAGCAACGCGAGGAACCUUACCAGGUCUUGACAUCCUCUGACAACCCUAGAGAUAGGGCUUUCCCUUCGGGG